This 698-nucleotide ribosomal RNA is filed under the name uncultured bacterium. RNAcentral's name for it is "bacterial SSU rRNA". It matches the Rfam family "Bacterial small subunit ribosomal RNA", at positions 63 to 759 of the family's 1533-position model. The record is from RNAcentral.
CGAGCGGGAAUGCAGAGGCGGAAUUUUUCGGAAGGAAGCCUUUGUGUUUUAGCGGCGGACGGGUGAGUAACGCGUGGAUAACCUGCCCCAUACCGGGGGAUAACAGUUAGAAAUGACUGCUAAUACCGCAUAAGCGCACGGAGCCGCAUGGCGCAGUGUGAAAAACUCCGGUGGUAUGGGAUGGAUCCGCGUCUGAUUAGCUAGUUGGCGGGGUAACGGCCCACCAAGGCAGCGAUCAGUAGCCGACCUGAGAGGGUGGCCGGCCACAUUGGGACUGAGACACGGCCCAAACUCCUACGGGAGGCAGCAGUGGGGAAUAUUGCACAAUGGGGGAAACCCUGAUGCAGCAACGCCGCGUGAGUGAAGAAGUAUUUCGGUAUGUAAAGCUCUAUCAGCAGGGAAGAAGAGAGACGGUACCUGACUAAGAAGCCCCGGCUAACUACGUGCCAGCAGCCGCGGUAAUACGUAGGGGGCGAGCGUUAUCCGGAUUUACUGGGUGUAAAGGGAGCGUAGACGGUUAAUCAAGUCUGAAUUGAAAGCCCGCGGCUCAACUGCGGAACGGCUUUGGAAACUGAGUAACUAGAGUGCUGGAGGGGCAGGCGGAAUUCCUGGUGUAGCGGUGAAAUGCGUAGAUAUUUUGGAGAACACCGGUGGCGAAGGCGGCCUGCUGGACAGUAACUGACGUUGAGGCUCGAAAG